Molecule: long non-coding RNA, 655 nt
Organism: Papaver somniferum (opium poppy)
Lineage: Eukaryota; Viridiplantae; Streptophyta; Magnoliopsida; Ranunculales; Papaveraceae
Exons: 3
Source: RefSeq, a predicted model, not a curated record
AUAAGUUUUGCUCACUGAAUGUAUGAGAAACAUAUUAUCUUCUACAUUUUACCAUGAAAAUCUAAAAAUGGUGAACUGAAACCAGCUUAGGUAAUAGUCUAAUGGUCUUUUGUUCAUCUUCGUGUAGGAAAGUAGGUUUUAGGGGUUUUAUCUUAUGUUUUUGGAGCUUGGUGGCCAUGUGACAGAAGGAUUUCUAUUCUUCUUUUUUAUUGUUGUGAAAUUAGGUAUAUGUUGGAGUAACUUAAGCUUUCUUGUUGUACAGGUUCACUUUCCUUCUUUUUCUAUGCUUAAUUUACGAUGAUACGUCCCCACCCUGCAGGAAUUGAUAAUUUAAAUGCCUGCGGGAGCUGAAUCAUCCUCUGAUUCUUGGUCACAGCAAGAAGAUAUCUGACUGGAGUUGGCUGUUACGGAUGCUGGAAUUCUUAAAAAGCUUGCUCCUACAAUUGGUAUCGCUGUGGACCACAGCGUAGAAACAAGUCAUUGGAAGGGCUCCAAACCAUUUUCUAACGUCUUAAGACAUACUAGGCCAAGCUCGUUUUCUUCCCAAGAGAUGCAGGCAAAUUCAAGGCAAAUUUUUAUCUGCCUCUUUAUGUACAGCAAAUAUUUGCGUUUUCCUGCAUUUUAUAUGCUAUCGUUCCGGUGCCUUUUUUAGGAG